This 569-nucleotide unclassified non-coding RNA is filed under the name Hevea brasiliensis (rubber tree). Lineage: Eukaryota; Viridiplantae; Streptophyta; Magnoliopsida; Malpighiales; Euphorbiaceae. The record is from RNAcentral.
AUGGUUGAAGAUGAUCGAUCAAGAUGCUUGAGUUUGAGUAGCCUCCUGAGCCUUCUGCUGGACAUAUUGCCCAUAUUCCUUAGCUCUCUCUUUCAUAUCGUGGGCCUUUCUUGCUAUCUGCCUUCUCGCAUAAUCCAGCUUAUCCGCGCCAGGUGGGUGCUUCCCUGUCAAGUAAUUAUACAUCCAAGUUAAUGCCAUUAUCGCCAUCAACCCACACCCACCUGAGAAAAAGAACCCAGUGGUGACCAGGAACACCACUAUCCCUGCUGGGACUAAAACGGAACUACAAAGCACCAGAAUUGGGGUGGACACGAUCAGAGCUAUGACUGUCCCAGUUAAAGUCAACCCUGACAAGAGCAAGAAAGUUGCACCUAUCAUGGCAGCGGUGAGGAAUUUGACCGUCGGGUGGGAGGAUCGCGGUGGCUCACGGACCAGUUGGGAAACUGGUCUUGAUUGAUCAGACAUAAUGGGCGACGAAAGGAGGAGUAGUUUGGGUUAAUUGUCGGGGAGGGGAAGCAGGGGAUGAGAGUUAUAUAUAAUAAGGAGUGGAGGUGGAGGUGCGGGAUAAU